CCACAACACACUUAAAAGGGCAUCAGAUGUCAAUCAGCCCAAGCCCUGGUUGAAGAGGAAUGUUUUCGCCUGGCACCUAAAGAUGGAAACGAAGGCACCAGGCGAGCUUCCCUGGGGAGAGCAUUCCACCAACGGGGAGCCAAUGCAGAAAAGGCCAAUUCUUACGUUGCCACCCUCUGGACCUCUCGUGGAGGAGGCAUAUGAAAAAGGUCCUCUGAUGGGUCAGUUGCUAAGUUCCUAUUCUGCAACUCCUGCAACUGAUGAUGAGAUGUGAUUCUACAAUGGUGAGAACCCACAGCUCUCAGAGAUCCAGAAUGAACAACACAAGGUCAACAUUCCUGCCUUCUGGCCUCCGGUUUGAGUCUGUCUUACACUCGACAUUUUAAAAGCUAAAACUUUUCAGGUCUGGAAGACAUCAACAAAGCUCUUAGUUCUUUGGCCUCGAUAGGAGGAGGCCACAUCCAGUCUUUUUCUAGUAUAUUUUUCAAAGGUUACUGGACAGCUUUACAAACAGCAGAGUUCCAAACCCCACCCAGGCUGAUUCACGAGCCGUUGUGAACAUUCUUUAAAGGUUUUUAUGGGGAAGGUUCAUACGGGGAAAGUUCAUAAAGGUUCAUAUGGAGAGAGGUGGCCUUUGCGGUAUCUAAGGCUCUAUAGGUUGAAUUGGGGCUGGAAACUAAGUGAUAUCCAGUGCAGUUGGGCCACGAUCGGUGUAAGACAUGGUAGGCAAACUAAAGCCUGGGGGCUGGAUCUGGCCCAAUCACCUUCUAAAUCUGGCCUGCGGAUGAUCUGGGAAUCAGCGUGUUUUUACAUGAGUAGAAUGUGUCCUUUUAUUUAAAAUGCAUCUCUGGGUUAUUUGUGGAGCAUAGGAUUCAUUCAUUUCCCCCCCCAAAAUACAGUCCAGCCCCCCCCCCCCCAAGGUCUGAGGGACAUUGGACCGGCCCCCGCUGAAAAAGUUUGCUGACCCCUGGUGUAAGAUGUUCAAACGGCCUCGGUCCAGUAUACAGUGGUGCCUCGCAAGACGAAAUUAAUCCGUUCCGCGAGUCUCUUCGUCUUGCGUUUUUUUCGUCUUGCGAAGCACGGCUAUUAGCGGCUUAGCGGCUUAGUGGCUAUUAACGGCUUAGCGGCUUAGUGGCUAUUAACGGCUUAGCAGCUUAGCGGCUAUUAACGGCUUAGUGGCUUAGCGGCUUUAAGAAAAAGGAAACAAACUCGCAAGAACUCGCAAGACGUUUCGUCUUGCGAAGCAAGCCCAUAGGGAAAUUCGUCUUGCGGAACAACUCAAAAAACGGAAAACUCUUUCGUCUAGCGAGUUUUUCGUCUUGCGAGGCAUUCGUCUUGCGGGGCACCACUGUACCUGAAGGAGCUUCUCCACCCCCAUCGUUCUACCCAGACACUGAGGUCCAGCACAGAGGGCCUUCUGGUGGUUCCCUCGCAGCGAGAAGCCAAGUUACAGGGAGCCAGGCAGAGGGCCUUCUUGGUAGUGGCACCCGCCCUGUGGAACGCCCUCCCACCAGAUGUCAAAGAGAAAAACAACUACCAGACUUUUAGAGGGCAUCUGAAGGCAGCCCUCUUUAGGGAAGCUUUUAAGGUUUAACAGACUAUUGUAUUUUAAUAUUUUGCUGGAAGCCGCCCAGAGUGGCUGGGGGGUAUAAAUGAAUUAUUAUUAUUAUUAUUAUUAUUAUUAUUAUUAUUAUUAUUAUUAUUAUUAUUACCGUACAGGGAAGGUGGCUGCCAAACAUCAAUGGGCAGUGAGUUCCAGAGAUGCCACAUUGAGAGAUGGAUUCCGCGAGAGUGCAGAACAAACUCCUUUUGGCAUAACAUGUAGCUUUGCUCUUUGCAAAACCGUUUGUCAGGGAAAACCUGCGAUGGCAGAAUGAAGAUCCUUCCGUCUUCUUACUGACAGAGAAAGAGAACGGGAAAAAAUUACCCGUUACUUUAAGAGAGAUUCUCAUACGGACAAAAAAUGCCUGUUGGGGCAUGCCUAGAAAAAUGAAAAAUUGGUUCCUCUUUCGGAUGGAUGGAUUUAUUUUGCCUGCUAUAGGCAUUACAUAUUUGAGGAAGGAGAAAGAGGCCUCCCCCCCAAUAAGAAUGAUGAAAAUUAGGUUUUGAGAGACAAUGUCGUCCAUCUUCCUCAUCAAAUUCCACAAGGUUCAAUGUUUUUCACUGUCAACUUUUAUUUUUGUAUCUGUUUCCGCCCCCCGCCCCAGAAUCCUUGGAAAUUUGGUACAGUGCAGCCAACAGGAUUUCUGCCCUCAUUCCAGAUCAACGGCUUCUGCUUUUAAAGUUCGUUUGGCGGCAACCCUUGAAUAAUUCAGUGACAAAAAAAGGUUGCUCUAAGGCCUCCUUCCCUGCAAGAUUGUUUUCAUUUUUUACAUCAAGGACCCAAUUCAGGGCAACAUGUAAGCUAUCCAACCGGGUGAAUCAAAUAGUUUAUGAUCUUUUUCUUUUUUUUUAAUAAUAAUUUUUAUUGAUUUUAACAUAUAAAUUAUAGAAUGCACCACGAAACUUAUCACUUAUACAAUCUUUUUAGACUUCCAUCAGCACCUCUGAUAAUCCACCGUUUUGUCCACUUCUUAUACAUUUCUUAACUUUAUAUUGCCUUUAAGUCUCUUAACAAAUUAUCCUUUCCCUUAUCUAUUUUUGCAAUACUUCCAAUAAUACUCCUCACAGAACUUCUUGCAAACCAACAAACGUCGUCUGGUCUUCACAAAUACUUUUCAAAUAGUCCAUAAAUUUACUCCAGUCUUCCAUGAAUUUCUGGUCCCGCCGGUUUCGAAUGCUUCCUCUUAAUUUAUCUAAUUCUGCAUAGUCCAUUAACUUCAUCCUUCAUUCUUCAGUCGUCGGUAGUUCUUCUUGCUUCCAUUUUUGGGCUAAUAAUAUUCUUGCUGCUGUUAUUGCCAAAUAGUUUAUGAUCAGAUAUACCCUCCCCUUGCUAGAACCCAGGUUGGGUUACAAUAAUAUCAGUUUAAAAUCAGGUGCAAGGAAGGGGUUGAAAAAGAGAGGGAUGGGAAAAUGGAAUGGAGAGUCUGGAAUCCUAAACAGGCAGGCCUUCACCCUGCAACAUUUUGCUGGAGAUACCUCUCAUUAGAGGUGCCUUGAAAUUUAAUCAAUGGGCAUGUUGCUCUUAUUAAUUUUAUUGGUUGUAAGCCACUUUUGGACGCAGGUGGCGCUGUGGGUUAAACCACAGAGCCUAGGACUUGCCGAUCAGAAGGCCGGCGGUUCAAAUCCCCGCGAUGGGGUGAGCUCCCGUUGCUCGGUCCCUGCUCCUGCCAAUCUAGCAGUUCGAAAGCACCUCAAAGUGCAAGUAGAUAAAUAGGUACCGCUCCGGCGGAAAGGUAAACAGCGUUUCUGUGCGCUGCUCUGGUUCGCCAGAAGUGGCUUAGUCAUGCUGGCCACAUGACCCGGAAGCUGUACGCCAGCUCCCUUGGCCUAUAGAGCAAGAUGAGCGCCGCAACCCCAGAGUCGGUCACAACUGGACCUAAUGGUCAGGGGUCCCUUUACCUUUAAGCCACUUUUAGGGUGCCACCGACUGGUGGAAAAGCAGAAUCGUCAUCAUCAUUUGACACCUAGUGUGAAGAAGAAGAAGAAGAAGAGUUUGGAUUUGAUAUCCCGCUUUAUCACUACCCGAAGGAGUCUCAAAGCGGCUAACAAUCUCCUUUCCCUUCCUCUCCCACAACAAACACUCUGUGAGGUGAGUGAGGCUGAGAGACUUCAGAGAAGUGUGACUGGCCCAAGGUCACCCAGCAGCUGCAUGUGGUUGAGCGGAGACACGAACCCGGUUCCCCAGAUUACGAAUCUACUGCUCUUAACCACUACAUCACACUGGCUCUGUGUGUCAGGAGAUGGCUAGUUUAGAACCCUGACCUGCUUCUUUUCUAUGUUCAGGGAAUUCUUUCCUAUAGAGGUGCAACACCAGCUGCUAUUUUCCUAUCAGACACAUUUGAUGAUGAGAACAAAGGUUUUGCAACCCCUCACCAUUUUUUUCCUGCCAUCUGCAAAUUUGUGUGUGCAAACCCUUCCCUUCUGCUUCUAAGAAUAUCCAUCUGUCAAACUGGUAAGACAAAUACCAAAUUACAUUGGGGCAUGUGAUAUAUGGCUCAUAAACAGUGAUGGAUGGCAGCUUGCAUCCUUCCCUCCACGGAGGUUAUCAGAUCAGUUCAUGCUCAGAUAUUCUGCUUCUUGGCUUUUACCUUUUCGUCUUUUGACUGCUGAAUUAUGCAAAGGGCAUUGGCUGCAAUUUGCUUUGUGUAUUUCAGAUUUUCUUUUACAGCCACAGGCACUGUGAAAACCCCCAUUUGUGUGUUACACAUCACAAAAUUACUGCCACCCUUCUCAGCCACUAUAAGGAAAACUAAGUACAUGCAGUGUUGCAGUGAUGGGGGAAUUUGGGUGGACCUUGGCUCCGGGCUUUCUUCAGACCAAGUCGCAGAUAUCAUCUGCCCCUGGGUAAUUGGAAGGUCCUCUGAGAGUUAGUAUUAAGAAAGGCAGAAAACAUGGAAGAUAAUCACUGAAAUGGCUGGCUACGUCUCUCCUUUUCUUUGAUGGAGUUCCUGCUUCACAGUAGCAGUUUAAAUGUUGCACUUCUUUGUGACAUUUCUAAUGAAAAGCCAAGGUCUGCAUUUUAGCUGGCUGAAGAGCUUUCGUUAAAGGAUUUUGCAGGCUGAAUCUGUGCUCAAUGCAACGGAGCUUAUUGUGCUGUUCCUAAUAAACUGGGUACUUUGCUAUAUCGGAGGUGGGGAAUUGGAUCCAGCUGGUGGGUCAUAUGGUUAAUUCAACCACUCCGUGUAGGUCAAUGGUGGAAGUGUGUGGGACUGCACAAGGGACUUUGACUGUUGGGCAGGACAACCCACGUGUUGAUCAUUAGAUGUCCUAAUAAUACCGGGUGAUUGGCUGGUGACUUGUCCCAUCCACCUGUCAAAGUUCAUAGAAUUGUAGAGUUGUAAAGGACCCAAGGGAAAUCUCAUCCAACCCCCUGCAAUGCAGGAAUCUCAGCUAAAGCAUGUGGGAUGUGAAACACAAGAGGCGUCAAGUACAACAUUCCUAGAGUGAACAUGUUUACACAUGGGGAGGAAUGUUUGUCCAGCCAGCAGGUAAACUUCCUGUUUCCUUCUGGGCUGGGACAGACUUUUCCUCUGCAUGUGACUAGAGGUGGGUGUGGCCUCACCUAUGCAGGUAACGACAAAAGCACAAGGCAGGGCAGCCAUCUCUCUCUCUUUGACUACAUGCAUCGAAGAAGCAACAUCUGCUUAGCCAAAGAUGCUCUCUUGGCCUCCAGCCAAGAGAGGACAAAGGACUGUCUCCUUAUGAGAUAGUUUCCAUGUGUAUGUUACUUUUCUAAGCUUAGCCUGCCUUCUGGGAUCUGACUGUGAACAGAACGUGAGUAAACUCUUUUUAUACUUUUAUAGAAGAUUGUGUUGUGUCUUAUCUUUUAUUUUUAUUUUUAAAAUGAUAUUUAUUGAAAAUUUUUAGAAUUACAAAAGAGAACAAAGCAGAAAAAGAGAAAGAAAAAGCAAAUAAAAAACAAACCACAUCAAACAAUACAAAUUCAAAAAACAAAAAUACACCACAAACACUCAAAAACAAAUCCAUCAUUCUCAAAUCCUCAACUGUCAUUACCUUCUUUCUUUGACCUCCUCCUCCUCCCUUUUUUUUUGUAUCCUAGUUGUUAAUUGUCGCAGCAAAUCCUUUCCAUAUUUCAUAAUAUUCUGUCAUUACAUUACCUUAAUCUAUUUUAAUCUUAUCUUACUAUAAAGAACCUUAAAGCUUAAAACUUAAAUCUUAUUUUUACCAACUUCUCAUAACCAUAAUAUUCUUACAUAAUUCUUUAAACAUUUUUGCUAAAGCCAAGUAAUUUCGUUCCAACAUUUUUCUAACAUUCAUCAAUUUUAUAAAAUAAUCCUAGUAGUAAAAAAAAGAAAUAAAAACAAUCCAAUCUUCAUCCAGCGUCCCUUCCUCCUGGUGUGUCGUGUCUUAUCUUUUAUGAGGGAAUAAGGGGGAAAUACCAGAACAGUUAUUAUACAGGCUUCAGCAAGCCUGAGCAAACGCAUCUGCUGCAAGUUUAAAAACGGGAAUGUUACUCUGCUAAAUUGUGAACUUGUUACCACAAGUUGGAAAGGCUAUAAUCAAACAAUAUAGCCUCUCCUGCAUCCCUGAACAUUCCCACAAAGCACCCAUGACAGAUGACCACCCAACCUCUGCUUAAAAAUCUCCAAGGAAGUAGAGUCCACCACCUCCCAAGGGAGUCCAUUCCACAGACAGAACAGCUCUUACUGUCAGAAAGUUUUCCUGACCUUGAGUCAGAAUCUCCUUUCUUGUAACUUGAAGUGAUUGGUUUGAGUCCUACCCUCUGGAGCAGGAGAAAAAAGGCUUGCUCCACCUUCAAUGUAACAGUCCUUUAGAUAUUUGAAGAUGGCUAUCAUAUCUCCUCUCAGUCUCCUCUUUUCCAGGCUAAACAUACCCAGCUCCCUCAACUAUUCCUCAUCAGGCUUGGUUUCCAGACCCUGGAUCAUCUUGGUCACCUCCCUCUGCACACGUUUCAGCUUGUCAACAUCCUUCCUAAAUUGUGGUGCCCAGAAUUGGACACAGUACUCCAGGUGUGGUCUCAACAAGGCAGAAUGGAAAGGGACUAUGACUUCUCUUGAUCUGGACACGAGGCUUCUGUCAGCCCAUGUGGAGACAGGGACAAGGAAGGAUCUGGUCCUGUGGGCCAAAAUGCUCCUCUUUCAACAGGAGAUGCCAGGAACCGAACCCGGAACCUUCUGCAUGCCAAGCAGGGGCUCUGCCUCCGAGCUGCAGCCCCUCCCUAUAUUUGAACAACUUGCUGUCUUGUUUUGCGUGUUCUCCCUCUGUGUACUGUGGAUUCAGAAAUUCAGAGUCGGAAGCCUCUGGCAAGCCUCCAGCCCGUAUCCAUUGCGAGAGAUGCUCAGCUGUGAGAUUAAAGUCAUUUGUCAAUUGGCUACUGCAGAUAAGGGAGGUAUCUGUUCGGAAAUCCCAGGAAAAGCCUGUGACAUUUCUCCAGCGGCAUUUGCACCUUGCAUUGGGGGCUGUGUGCGACGCUUUGGAUUGUUUAAGAGACAAGCUGCGUUCAUUCUUGGUAUUUACAACAUUUCUCAUCUUAAAAAGCAGAGACAUCACCUUGCCAACAAAGGUCUGUAUAGUUAAAGCUAUGGUUUUCCCAGUAGUGAUGUAUGGAAGUGAGAGCUGGACCAUCAAGAAGGCUGAUCGCCGAAGAAUUGAUGCUUUUGAAUAAAGGUGCUGGAGGAGACUCUUGAGAGUCCCAUGGACUGCAAGAAGAUCAAACCUCUCCAUUCUGAAGGAAAUCAGCCCUGAGUGCUCACUGGAAGGACAGAUCCUGAAGCUGAGGCUCCAAUACUUUGGCCACCUCAUGAGAAGACUCCCUGGAAAAGACCCUGAUGUUGGGAAAGAUGGAGGGCACAAGGAGAAGGGGACGACAGAGGAUGAUAUGGUUGGAUAGUGUUCGCGAAGCUACCAGCAUGAGUUUGACCACAGUGCGGGAGGCAGUGGAAGACAGAAGUGCCUGGCGUGCUCUGGUCCAGGGGGUCACGAAGAGUCGGACAUGACUAAACGACUAAACAACAACAACAACACAACAUUUCUCAGCAUCACUUUUGCCAUUUUAAGAGGGCAUCCUGGCUCCACGUUUUGAGGAGUCCCUCCAUACUUCAUGCAGAAUGAGGAGGCCAAAUUCUGGACAGCACUAGUUCAAGCUAGACUCAUAGAACUGUAUCAUUAGACAGGAUCCCAAGGGUUAUCUAGUCCAACCCCCUGCAAUGCAGGAAUAUAUUUUUUCCCAAUUUUUUUAUUAGUUUUCCAAAUUUAUAAGAAACAUAGAAGAAAAACAUCACAGUAAAAACAAACAAACAAACAAACAAACAAAUAUUUAUCCUAACUGUUAAAAUCCCAAUUUUGUUAUCAUUGUUAGGUGACUUCCUCAAAUCUCCCUAGCUGAGUUUCCAUAUAACUCAUUGUAGCAGUUUUCCAAUACGACUUUCAAAUAAAAUUAAUUUCGUCAAUUAACAUCUUUAUUUCUUUUCAUAUUAUCCUCUAUCCAUAAUGUUAUACAAUUUAACAUAUUUAACUCCUAGGCCAAUUUGGUACUUACAGAUAGUUCUACUUAUGUUACCUUAGCAUAUUUAACUAAAUAGUCCUUAAAUUUCUUCCGUUCUUCUUGGUGCUCCUCCUCUUUCUGUUUGCGGAUUCUUCCAGUCAGGUCAGCCAGCUCCAGAAAGUCCAUCAUGCAAUGCAGGAAUAUUUUGCCCACAGCUGUCCCUGGGUGGGCUUGAACCACCAACCUUCCGGUUAGCAGCCAGAUGCAUGGACCCAUUGCACCACCUAUGAGAUAUGGGGAAUUGUGGUGGUAUGGACCUGGGGGAGACCCUUGUUUGAAAUCACAGAGAGUUGACAGCUUUUGUAAUGUGCUUUUUAUUCAUUCCUAAGUACAAGUUAGGGACACGGGUGGUGCUGUGGGUUAAAUCACAGAGCCUAGGACUUGCCGAUCAGAAGGCCGACGGUUUGAAUCCCCGCGAUGGGGUGAGCUCCCGUUGCUCGGUCCCUGCUCCUGCCAACCUAGCAGUUCGAAUGCACUUCGAAGUGCAAGUAGAUAAAUACGUACCACUCCGGCAGGAAGGUAAAUGGCGUUUCUGUGCACUGCUCUGGCUCACCAGAAGCGGCUUAGUCAUGCUGGCCACAUGACCUGGAAGCUGUACGCCGGCUCCCUCGGCCAAUAAAGCGAGAUGAGUGCCGCAACCCCAGAGUCGACCACGACUUGACCUAAUGGUCAGGGGUCCCUUUAGCUUUAAGUACAAGUUUAGCUGUCUGAUUCUAGACACUAUUGCAUGUCAGCUAUGAAAUGUCAAAUUCCUAACACUGUUGCAUGUUGCCUGCUAAAAUCCUAAAACACUGCUGCAUGCUGCCAAUUGUCCGGUACUAUCUAGUCAGCUAUCAAGAAGCGUCAAAGAACAAAUGCUGAGAAUACGAGAAUACCUGCAUUCAAGACCAACAGCAAUGUAUGUGCUUGGGCUAUUACUUCUGCUCUGUUCUUGGCUAGUGUCAGAGUCACAAAGAAAACGGAAGCCCGGGUAUUGAAAUUCUCCAGGAGUAGUUCCCAGAUAUCAGUGCGGGUUUGCAAAAUGGAAUUCAUUAGCUCAUUCCCCCAGCACAGUUCAUGAUUCAAGUCCACAUAGCCUGCGGUGCUAUAAUGCAUAUUGGAGGGAAAUGAUGAUUUCCUUGCCAAAUAAAGUCCAUCUGCUGCCUUGGCAGGAACCAGAAUGCGAAAGUAUUGAUUCUGACAGCGUUGUCCUGAUUUUUAUCUUCUCAAAAAUGGCCCAGUUUCCUUGCUGCUCUGAUGUUUGAAAGCUGGAAAUAAAGUAUUGCUGUGGGAAGCGACAAAAUCUUGCUUGGAGUCAUAGGGCUGGUGUGUGUCUGUGUGUGUCUGUAGGAGUGUAGGAGAAAUCUGGUUUGAACAUUUUUAUGUGAGCCUAAUUCCCAAUUCCUAAAACAAACAUGCAAACCGAAAAUGCAGCUUUCCUUCAAAUGAUCUUGUCUCCUCAUUUUGUGACGCAGUUCUGCAACCCAAAAUUUGCACAAAAUUGCAAAUGUUAAGAGAAAGUGGGCUAAAAAAUUUGCAUACAUUAGUGAACAUCGUUUGUACAAGUGUGUAUAUUAGAUGCAAACUGAAUGAAAAUGUGUAUGUUGGGGGAAUGCAUAUUAUAAUGCUUGUGCAACUUUUUAUUUAUUUUUAAAAUGGCAGACUGAUGUGAAAAUGUUGCUAACUGACCAGAGCUUGGAAAAACAAAACUGAUGGGAUCACCCAUCCUUAGUUCCCUGCCAUGGAUUCCCUGACUGCCGUUGGGAGGAGACUCUGUGAUUCCCAUCUGUAAAAUGGGUACAGCUUGAAAUCCAUUUGCCACGGCUGUUGGAACGAAUGAGAUAGCUCUGAAUACUCCCACCCAUAAAUUAAAGGACAAUUAGCAUUGAUUUAGAUCAGAUGAAUGCUUUUUGCUGAAACAUUGUCCUAAACGUUUGCCUUUGUUUCUACAGCAUGUAUCUGUGCGUGGUAAUUGGGGUAAGGCUUGACAUCAGUACAGGCUGCUGUUGACUAAUGGGGCAUCUCCUCCUUCCAUAGCACUCGGCUUGUGCUCUAAUUGUAAGCUGUCAAUAUAAUUGUGGAUUCAGGUAGGUAGCCGUGUUGGUCUGACACAGUCUAAAUAAAAAAUUAAAUUUUUUUUUUUGUCUAGUAGCACCUUAGAGACCAACUAAGUUUUUUCUUGGUAUAAGCUUUCGUGUACAUGCACACUUCUUCAGAUACCUGAAGAUACCUGAAGAUAUCUGAAGAAGUGUGCAUGCACAUGAAAGCUUAUACCAAGAACAAACUUAGUUGGUCUCUAAGGUGAUACUAGACAAUAUAAUUGUGCUUAUUGGUUUUUGGGGAAAAGGACAUGCUUUAAGGUAAGACUUUUAAAAAAAAAUGGAAAAAAAAAUCAUAAAGCAACUGUUGGUCGAAGCUUAACAUAAAAAAAAAACCUAAGGUCAUGGCCACUGGUCCCAUCACCUCCUGGCAAAUAGAAGGGGAAAAAAUGGAGGCAGUGAGAGAUUUUACUUUCUUGGGCUCCAUGAUCACUGCAGAUGGUGACAGCAGUCACGAAAUUAAAAAACGCCUGCUUCUUGGGAGAAAAACAAUGACAAACCUAGAAAGCAGAGAUACCACCUUGCCAACAAAGGUCCAUAUAGCUAAAGCUAUGGUUUUCCCAGCGGUGAUAUAUGGAAGUGAGAGCUGGACCAUAACGAAGGCUGAUCGCCGAAGAAUGGAUGCUUUUGAAUUCUGGUGCUGGAGGAGACUCUUGAGAGUCCCGUGGACUUCAAGAAGAUCAAACCUCUCCAUUCUGAAGGAAAUCAGCCCUGAGUGCUCACUGGAAGGACAGAUCCUGAAGCUGAGGCUCCAAUACUUGGGCCACCUCAUGAGAAGAGAAGACUCCCUGGAAAAGCCCCUGAUGCUGGGAAAGAUGGAGGGCACAAGGAGAAGGGGGCGACAGAGGUUGAGAUGGUUGGACAGUGUUCUCGAAGCUGCCAGCAUGAGUUUGACUGAACUGCAGGAGGCAGUGGAGGUAGUCAUGAAGAGUUGAACAUGACUAAACGUCUACAAAGCAACUAGCUUUCCUUCAAAAGGAAGACUAAUUGACCCAAGGAUAGUCAGAGAUGGAUCCAUUUCAAGGUAUUUUCCAAGUCCUAUGCCCCUCAAUACAGGUGACUCUCAAUUUACACCUGGGUCGAGUGAAAGGAUGCGGGUGGUGCUGUGGGUUAAACCACAGAGCCUAGGACUUGCUGAUCAUAAGGUCGGCGGUUCGAAUCCCCAUGACGGGGUGAGCUCCCGUUGCUCGGUCCCUGCUCCUGCCCAUCUAGUAGUUCAAAAGCACGUCAAAGUGCAAGUAGAUAAAUAGGUACCCUCAAGUGGGAAGGUAAAUGGCGUUUCCAUGCGCUGCUCUGGUUUGCCAGAAGCGGCUUAGUCCUGCUGCCCACAUGACCCGGAAGCUGUACACUGGCUCCCUCGGCCAAUAAAGCGAGAUGAGCACCACAACCCCAGAGGCAUCCGCAACUCGACCUAACGUAUGGGGUCCCUUUACCUAGAGUAAAAGGUAAAAAAAGGUAAAGGACCCCUGGAUGGUUAAGUCCAGUCAAAGGUGACUAUGGAGUUUUGGUGCUCAUCUUGCUUUCAGGCCGAGAGAGCCAGCGUUUGUCCACAGACAGCUUUUCAGGUCAUGUGGCCAGCAUGACUAAACCUCUUCUGGUGUAAUGGGACACUGUGACAGAAACCAGAGUGCACAGAAAUGUUAUUUACCUUCCUGCUGCAGCAGUACCUAUUUAUCUACUUGCACUGGUGUGCUUUCGAACUGCUAGGUUGGCAGUAGCUGGGACAGAGCAACGGGAGCUCACCCCGUCUCGGGGAUUCGAACUGCCGACCUUCCAAUCGGCAAGCCCUAGGCUCAGUGGUUUAGUAAGGUCAGGUGAAAAGAACUAACUGAAGAGUGCAGUUUGUUUAUUGGCCAGUGUGUGGCGCCAAGCGAAAAUGGAAUGAGGUUACCAUAGGGGACCAUGUUUAGUUUCCUCUGCAGAGACCUGAGAAUCAGAUAGGACUCCUCUUAUGCCUUUUCUCCAGGUAUGGCGAUUUUUUAAAAGGAAAAACAUUUUCCAGUGGGACUGCAUAUCUGAGGUACUGCUUGGGGGUGGUGGAAUGGAAUGGGAGGCCAGGGAGAGAAAGCCAGGAUUAAUAGCAUUCAGCUAAGUGGAACUAAUUGAGAUGAAAGAUGAGCAAAACUCGUCAGCUCCUGACCUAAUUAUCAGGCAGAUGGAAAGAGCAGGAGAUAAGCAAAGCGAGUGAGAGCACUUAUGGAUAUUGGAAAAUAGCAAGGGUUCAAAAGAGAUACAGGGAAGGAGACCUCACUUGCUUAAAACCUUUGCUGCUCAUGGUAUCAGUACAGCUUAAAUAAGAUGUGCUACUUUAUGUCAGGCGUUCAGCCUACACUCGAGUUGGACCCUGGUAGAGACACAUACCCGACUGGCAUGUUCUCUCCCUCCUGAUCAAUAGUUCGGGAGCUUCAAAAGCUUUCUUCAGCCAGAUCAUCACAGCGACCGAUGCCAGCCGACACAGGCACACUUAGGGAUCCGCAGAGUUUGCACAGCAUGGGGAACAGACCUCAGCAACUCAGCAUUUUGGCUAAUCUACUUUAUUUACAUAUAAACACACACGGAGCACUGCAACAUGGCUCCCUCCCUCUCUAGCAUCAGGCAGCAAAGAGAAAAAAAACAAAGGACAAUAGUCCCACUUCACGGAACACAGUAACACAAACUUCCUGUCUCCGUCACUUCCCACUCUGUGGAGUCAAAACAUACACUGUCAUGUGAUAGACAACAAUCCCAUGACUGCAACCAUGGAGCAGGAAUUCUAACACUUUAUACUGAGUCCAGUGAUGCAUCCAGCUCAGUAAAGUCUACACUGACUGGCAGUGGCUCUCCAGGAUUUUGGUCCAAGGUUUCUCCUAACUGUAUCUGGAGCUGUCUGGGGUUGAAAAAAAGAUGUUCUGCCAGUUUGCUACGGCCUUUGCCUUCAUAGCAACACAGAAAGCUGCCUUUCACUGAGCUAGAUCGUUGGUCUAUCUAGCUCACUAUUGUCUAUGUGGGAUGUAAUUCACUGAGAGCAGUCAAGUACAACAUUCCUUGUAAUGCUAGAGAAGACAUGUGAGGGAAUGUUUGGUCCAGCCAGUCAAACUUCCUGUUCCUGUUCUUCCUGGCUGGGGCAUCCUUCCUUUUGCAUGUGAUAGAAGGUGGGUGUGAUCUAACCUGUCCAGGUAACAAAAGGACAAGUCAUGCAGCACCUCUCUCUCUUUUUUUUAACUUCCUUCUUCAUUUGACCAGCUUUUAGCUAGGACUGCUCUGCUAGCUCUCAGCUAGCAGAGGCACUGCGAUUAUUCCUCCAUAUGGGGUAGCUCCACAUGUACAUAUUUGUAACUAAGUCUGCCUUCAGGGAUCCAACUGUGGACCGAUGUAAGUAAACUUCUUUUUACAGUGGUACCUCGGGUUAAGUACGUAAUUCGUUCUGGAGGUCCGUUCUUAACCUGAAACUGUUCUUAACCUGAAGCACCAUUUUAGCUAAUGGGGCCUCCUGCUGCCGCCGCGCCGCCAGAGCACGAUUUCUGUUCUCAUUCCGAAGCAAAGUUCUUAACCUGAAGCACUAUUUCUGGGUUAGCAGAGUCUGUAACCUGAAGCGUAUGUAACCUGAAGCGUAUGUAACCCGAGAUACCACUGUAUUGACUUGAAAUAAGAUUGUGGCAUCUUUAUUCUUUUUAAGAGGGAUUCAAGGGAAUUUACCAAGAACGUACAAUUCAGUCUGCCUGGAAACCAAUGUCCCCACUGUGGAAGGACGUGUGGAUCCAGAAUUAGCCUCCACAGUCACUUACAGACUCAUUGUUAAAACCGUGUUUAUGGAAGACAAUCUUACUUGGCUAUGAGGGAUCACCAAAGAAGAAGACGCAAAGGCCAAGAGGCACAAGCCUCUCUUUGAGGACCAAGAGGCACCUGUGCCUUUUGAUGCUGUGGUUUGAACUUCACGGCUGCGCCUGCAAAAUUGGCCAAGGGAAAUUGUUACCUAAGGUAAAGGGUAGAGGAAAUGAGAGCCUUUUGUCAGACUAAUGAGAGAAGUGUCCUCAGCGUUUCGCUACUCCAAGCUGAUAAGUGCCCACUUGGAAGAGCUUCCCCUGUGAAGUGGGCUUCUCUUUUGUGUCUUUAAAAAAAAAGAACUCUGGGGAAAUCCUCUGUGAUAAAGCAGAGGCAAUUGUGCUGCGAUGAAGACGCAGAGAAAGCAGUUCAGAUGGAGAGACAGAAAGAGACAGAAAUUAUUCUCCUUUCUCUGGGAGGGUCCUUUACUGCUGCAGAGUGAUUGGUCUUCCUUAGCCUGUCGCUGCGGUCCUGCGCAGCACUUAACCCAUCCCCAAAUCCCCAUUGCAAUCCUGCAAGCACUUAUCCCCAUUUCAAAGGUUUAUUCUACACCAAAGGUGCCUCCAGACUGGUGCUUUGUGUAUGUGCAGGUAGAAGCAUUCUGCAACUGUCAUUGGCACAAUAAUAGUGUGUUAGCGGUGAAUCUGUGCUGGACUGCUCACACAUCGGGGAAACACCGGGGAAUGACUAAUACAGUGAAGAAGAAGAAGAAGAGUUUGGAUUUGAUAUCCCGCCUUUCA
This 14747-nucleotide long non-coding RNA is filed under the name Podarcis lilfordi (Lilford's wall lizard). The record is from RNAcentral. Lineage: Eukaryota; Metazoa; Chordata; Lepidosauria; Squamata; Lacertidae.